GUCGACGCUUCUUUUCCCACCGGAGCUUGCUCCACCGGGAAAAGAGGAGUGGCGAACGGGUGAGUAACACGUGGGUAACCUGCCCAUCAGAAGGGGAUAACACUUGGAAACAGGUGCUAAUACCGUAUAACAAUCGAAACCGCAUGGUUUCGUUUUGAAAGGCGCUUUACGGUGCCGCUGAUGGAUGGACCCGCGGUGCAUUAGCUAGUUGGUGAGGUAACGGCUCACCAAGGCCACGAUGCAUAGCCGACCUGAGAGGGUGAUCGGCCACAUUGGGACUGAGACACGGCCCAAACUCCUACGGGAGGCAGCAGUAGGGAAUCUUCGGCAAUGGACGAAAGUCUGACCGAGCAACGCCGCGUGAGUGAAGAAGGUUUUCGGAUCGUAAAACUCUGUUGUUAGAGAAGAACAAGGGUGAGAGUAACUGUUCACCCCUUGACGGUAUCUAACCAGAAAGCCACGGCUAACUACGUGCCAGCAGCCGCGGUAAUACGUAGGUGGCAAGCGUUGUCCGGAUUUAUUGGGCGUAAAGCGAGCGCAGGCGGUUUCUUAAGUCUGAUGUGAAAGCCCCCGGCUCAACCGGGGAGGGUCAUUGGAAACUGGGAGACUUGAGUGCAGAAGAGGAGAGUGGAAUUCCAUGUGUAGCGGUGAAAUGCGUAGAUAUAUGGAGGAACACCAGUGGCGAAGGCGGCUCUCUGGUCUGUAACUGACGCUGAGGCUCGAAAGCGUGGGGAGCAAACAGGAUUAGAUACCCUG
Molecule: ribosomal RNA, 756 nt
Filed under: Enterococcus sp. 12C
Lineage: Bacteria; Bacillati; Bacillota; Bacilli; Lactobacillales; Enterococcaceae
Description: bacterial SSU rRNA
Rfam family: Bacterial small subunit ribosomal RNA
Source: RNAcentral